Molecule: long non-coding RNA, 2015 nt
Organism: Artibeus jamaicensis (Jamaican fruit-eating bat)
Lineage: Eukaryota; Metazoa; Chordata; Mammalia; Chiroptera; Phyllostomidae
Exons: 3
Source: RefSeq, a predicted model, not a curated record
GAUGGAAUCUGAGCUUAACAGCGGGGGCUCAGGGAGGGGCGGAGCUAGCAGGGGGUUGGCAAAGGCUUAGGGAGGCAGGGCUGUUCUGUGUGUCCGAAGCCUCGGUCUGCCAGAGGGGAAGGAGCUGGGGAGGCAGCUGUGGUCUCCCACAGAGGAGCAGUGCUCCCCUUUGGUGGUGUUGUGACUCAUACAAGUUCUAGCAAGUGUGACCAGUGGCAAGAAAGCACCACCAGUGGCAAGAAAGCACUGAGUGCGGAAACAUUUUGUUUUUGUCAAAAUGCGACUAGUACCCGGUUUGACGAGUUCUGAAGCCAAGUCCCGAGAAACUUUCUAAGUCCCAGCCAAGAUGGAGGUGUCGGUAGAAACCCUUUACUUCCUUGCACAACCAAAAGGAGGAUAGCAACCAAUCUAAAAUCAAUAAACAACCAGAAGUGCCAGAAAAUCAAACUGCAUGGAACUCUGAGAACGAUGGGAUUAAAAGAAACAGCCAAACAGAGUGACCAGACCAGUAAGGCAGCGGUCGGAGAGAAACCAUGGCACAGCAGUGGACUGUGGGUUGGGCUGGCUGUGGUGAGGCAGGGGGCUGUGUGGGCACGGCUGACUUAUGGGGAAGCAGACUCAGAGUGGGCUGUGGACUACGGUGGUUGCCAUGGCAGGAGAAACUCCCAGUCUCACAUGAGAGUUCAUUGAAAAGUGCACUAGAGAUGAGCAGGUGAGUUGCACUGUUGCCCCUCGGGCCCCUUCCCCACAGGCAGAGCUGCAGCGCAGCAAGGAGGGUUGCCCUGCUUGGGUGACUGCUGAAGGCCCUGCCCAUUACAACUUAUAACUUCACAGCGGCCCCUAACAAAGAUAUAUGGCCAAAAUGAAGGAACAGUGCAAAACUUCAGAAAGAGAGCUAAACGAUGAGGGGAUAGCCAACUGAUCUGAUGGAGAAUUUAAAGCCCUGGUAAUCUAAAUGCUCAAAGAACUGAUUAAGCUUGGUCAAAAAAUGAAACAACAAAUGAAAGAUACCCAAAAUGAAAUAAAGCAAAAUAUUCAGGGAACCAACAGUGGCAGGAAGGAAACCAAGAUUCAAAUCAACAAUUUGAAACAAAAGGAAGAAAUAAACAUUCAACUAGAACAGAAUGAAGAAACAAGUAUUCAAAAAAAGUGAAGCAAGACUCUUCAACCUCUUUGACAACUUGAAAUCUUCCAAUAUCCAAAUUAUAGGGGUGCCGGAAGGAGAAAAACAGCAGCAUGAAAUUGAAAACUUAUUUGAAUAAAUAAUGAAGGAAAACUUCUCCAAUCUGGCAAAGGAAAUAGACUUCCAGGAAGUCCAGAAACCCUAGAGUGCCCAAUGAAGUUGGACCCAAAGAGGAACACACCCAGGCACAUCAUCAUUAAGUUACCUAAGAUUAAAGAUAAGGAGAGAAUAUUAAAAGCAGCAAGAGGAAAGGAAAUAGUUACCUACAAAGGAGUACUCAUUUUGCUAUCAGCUGAUUUCUCAAAAGAAACCUUACAGGCAAGAAGGGGCUGGAGAGAAGUAUUUGAAGUCAGGAAAGGCAAGGACCCACAUCCAAGAUGACUCUAUCCAGCAAAGCUAUCAUUUAGAAUGGAAGGGCAGACAAAGUGCUUCCCAGAUAAGGCCAAGUUAAAGGAGUUCAUCAUCGGCAGGUCAUUAUUAUAUGAAAUGUUAAAGAAACUUACCUAAGAAAAGGAAGAUAAAAAAUAUGAACAGUAAAAUGAGAACUCACAACUAUCAAUAAAUGAACCCCAAAAAAUAAAAGAAAGAAAAACAACAAAAAUUAAAACUAAGCAAAUAAGCAGAACAGGAACAGAAUCAGAGAAAUGGCUAUCAUACAGAGGGGAUUCAGUGGAGAGGGGGAAGGGAGGAAUGGGGAGAAAAGGUACAGGGAAGAAGAAGCAUAAUUGGUAGGCAUUCAAUAGAUAGGGAGUGGUCAAAAACUGUGUAGGAAACAGAACUCAAAGAACUUAUAUGUACAACCCACGGACAUGAGUUAACAGCAGUGGGGAAG